AGCGCCCAUAUUUUAUGGCGCCUAAGGGUCCUUGAGCGUUACUAAGGUGACGGGCAUACACGACAAGACAAGAAGGUCUUCUUACAACCACCGAUGUCGCGACGUCCAUCGCUAGAGACUCAUUUUUGCGCCAGCCGCACAACAAGGAACGGGAGGCCAGUAUCCGCCCCCAAACCGGAACAUCUCCUAAAGAGAUGUUUGGUCGGGGGCAACACAAUGCGUGACACCCAGGCAGACGUGCCCUCAGCCUAAUGGCUUCGGGCGCAACUUGCGUUCAAAGACUCGAUGGUUCACGGGAUUCUGCAAUUCACACCAAGUAUCGCAUUUCGCUACGUUCUUCAUCGAUGCGAGAGCCGGGAUAUCCGUUGCCGAGAGUCGUUUGUGUUUCAGACUGACGCCGCUGCCCGCGAACGAGAAGCGACGAACAAUUCAGUAUUAAUUUCCUUGGCGCAGUCAGCGCCCGGUUGAUUUCGUUGGCCGGUGGACACCCGUGAGGGGUACACCUACCUUGGGUUCGCAAAUAGGGGACCAUAGGCCCCCCAAAGCUUGCCCGAUGUUUUUACUUGUUAACAGGUCAUUCUGCUAUUGCAGGAUUCGACAAUGAUCCUUCCGCAGGUUCACCUACGGAAACCUU
RNAcentral lists this unclassified non-coding RNA (634 nucleotides) under Ferula communis. Its description in RNAcentral is "sequence contains ITS1, 5.8S rRNA gene, ITS2". Lineage: Eukaryota; Viridiplantae; Streptophyta; Magnoliopsida; Apiales; Apiaceae. The record is from RNAcentral.